GCAAGAUUAAAACUCAAAGGAAUAGACGGGGACCCGCACAAGUGGUGGAGCGUGUGGUUUAAUUCGAAGAUACGCGAAGAACCUUACCUAGCCUUGACAUAUUUUAGAACUCCGUAGAGAUACAGAGGUGCCUUCGGGAGCUAAUUUACAGGUGCUGCACGGCUGUCGUCAGCUCGUGUCGUGAGAUGUUGGGUUAAGUCCCGCAACGAGCGCAACCCUCGUCACUAGUUACUAACGGUUCGGCCGAGGACUCUAGUGAGACUGCCUUCGUAAGGAGGAGGAAGGUGAGGACGACGUCAAGUCAUCAUGGCCCUUACGGCUAGGGCAACACACGUGCUACAAUGGCCAGGACAGUGAGACGCGAUACCGCGAGGUGGAGCAAAUCUAUAAACCUGGUCUCAGUUCGGAUUGUAGUCUGCAACUCGACUACAUGAAGCUGGAAUCACUAGUAAUCGUAGAUCAGCUAUGCUACGGUGAGUACGUUCCCGGGUCUUGUACUCACCGCCCGUCACACCAUGGGAGUUGAUUUCACCCGAAGCGGGGAAGCUAAACUGGCUACCCUCCACGGUGGAAUUAGCGACUGGGGUGAAGUCGUAACAAGGUA
This 604-nucleotide ribosomal RNA is filed under the name uncultured bacterium. Its description in RNAcentral is "bacterial SSU rRNA". It matches the Rfam family "Bacterial small subunit ribosomal RNA", at positions 888 to 1498 of the family's 1533-position model. The record is from RNAcentral.